GGAGGCUACCGCUAUUGGAAUCCGAUUAAGCCAUGCGAGUCGAGAGACUUCGGGUCUCGGCAGACGUCUCAGUAACACGUGGAUAAUCUACCCUUGAGUGGGGGAUAAGCUUGGAAACCUGAGUAUAAUACCCCAUAGGCCUAGGAUGCUGGAAUGCUUCUAGGCUGAAAGCUCUGGCGCUCAAGGAUGAGUCUGCGACCUAUCAGGCUGUAGUGGGUGUAACGGACCCACUAACCUUCGACGGGUACGGGCCUUGAGAGAGGUUGCCCGGAGUUGGACUCUUAGACACGAGUCCAGGCCCUACGGGGUGCAGCAGGCGCGAAAACUUCACAAUGUGGGAAACCACGAUGAGGGGAUUCCAAGUGCCAGCACACUGUGUUGGCUGUUCAUCUGCCUAAAAAGCUGGUGAAGUAAGGGCCGGGUAAGACGGGUGCCAGCCGCCGCGGUAAUACCCGCGGCCCGAGUGGUGGUCGUUAUUAUUGAGCCUAAAGCGUCCGUAGCCGGUCCAGUAAAUCUCUGGGUAAAUCGGGCAGCUUAACCGUCCGAAUUCCGGAAAGACUGCUGGACUUGGGACCGGGGGAGGUUGGAGGUACUCCUGGGGUAGGGGUGAAAUCCUGUAAUCCUGGGGGGACCACCAGUGGCGAAGGCGUCCAACCAAAACGGCUCCGACGGUAAGGGACGAAGCCCUGGGGCGCAAACGGGAUUAGAUACCCCGGUAGUCCAGGGUGUAAACGCUGCAGGUUUGGUGUUGGGGGUCCUACGAGGGCGCCCAGUGCCGGAGAGAAGUUGUUAAACCUGCCGCUUGGGGAGUACGUCCGCAAGGAUGAAACUNA
Molecule: ribosomal RNA, 833 nt
Filed under: uncultured archaeon
Lineage: Archaea
Description: bacterial SSU rRNA
Rfam family: Archaeal small subunit ribosomal RNA
Source: RNAcentral